RNAcentral lists this ribosomal RNA (459 nucleotides) under uncultured bacterium. RNAcentral describes it as "partial 16S ribosomal RNA". It matches the Rfam family "Bacterial small subunit ribosomal RNA", at positions 338 to 795 of the family's 1533-position model. The record is from RNAcentral.
CCUACGGGUGGCAGCAGUGAGGAAUAUUGGUCAAUGGCCGGAAGGCUGAACCAGCCAAGUCGCGUGAGGGACGACUGCCCUAUGUGUUGUAAGCCUCUUUUAUAAGGGAGAAAUAAAUGCUACGUGUAGCAUGAUGCCUGUACCUUCUGAAUACGCAUCGGCUAACUCCGUGCCAGCAGCCGCGGUAAUCCGGAGUGUGCGAGUGUUAUCCGGAUUUAUUGGGUUUAAAGGGUGCGUAGGCGGUUUUUUAAGUUAGUGGUUAAACGUCGGGGCUUCACCUUGAUUUGCCAUUAAUACUGUAAGACUGGAGUGCAGAAGAGGUAGGCGGAAUAAGUUAAGUAGCGGUGAAAUGCUUAGAUAUAACUUAGAACUCCGAUAGCGAAGGCAGCUUACCAGACUGCGACUGACGCUGAAGCACGAGAGCGUGGGUAGCGAACAGGAUUAGAUACCCCUGUAGUC